Molecule: long non-coding RNA, 1068 nt
Organism: Magnolia sinica
Lineage: Eukaryota; Viridiplantae; Streptophyta; Magnoliopsida; Magnoliales; Magnoliaceae
Exons: 5
Source: RefSeq, a predicted model, not a curated record
UAUCUUGACCGUGGUCCUCCCCUACUUUUUCCUAAGACCUGUUCCACUUUGUUUUUGAAGGUUUUGGAAGACUGCCCUGGUGAUCUUAGUUUCUAGUAUUGUCACAUUUCUAAAGGUGCAUGGCCUUUCUCAACUAGAGAUCAUGGAUGGCCCAUAUCAGAUUGCAUUGCAGAAGGUUUAAAGGCUUCACUCUUGUUGUCGCAGAUUCCAUCAAAAACUGUUGGUGAACCAAUCGAUGCAAACAGAUUGUACGAUGCAGUGAAUGUCAUUCUUUCACUACAGGAAUUCGAAUGCCAAGAAGACAUGAUGUUCUACGGUGUGUUUGAUGGCCAUGGCCCUUGGGGACACUAUGUAGCAAAAAGGGUCAGAGAAUCGCUGCCAUCAUCUCUGCUUUGCAAUUGGCAGGAGACUCUUGCUAUGAGCUCAAUUACAUCAGAAUUCCUUUUGGAAUAUGAUAAAAUGCUUAAUCGAUUUGACAUUUGGAAGGAAUCCUAUUUGAGAACUUAUUGAAAUGAGUGAUUCACUUGGGCAAAUGAAUCAUAACCUUGAAGGUUUGAAGAGUGAUCUGAAGAAAGUUACUAAGGGAAGGGAUUGCCUUGAUUCUGAGGUACUUGUCUUGAAAGAGUAGCUAGAAAUAGCACAAGCUGUUGUUGAAGAAAAUGAACCAAUUGCUACAGAAGCUCGACAGAUGGCUGAGGCAAGGAAGAACUAUGCUGAAGAGGAGGAGGUGAAGCUGUUAGAGAAGUCUGUGGAAGAGCUAUAAUAUACUGUAAAUGUAUUGGAAAACAAGGUCAGCUCAUCAAUGGAGAGGCUGAAAGGCAACGGUUGCAGAGAGAGGAGCUAGAAGGGGACCCUACUGAAACAGUUCAUGUGGAAGGCUAUGUGGCAAUUCAUGUGCAUUUGUAUUUUGUUUUGAAAACUUUAAAUAGACCAAUAAUUGUUUUGUUGAUAUUGUGCUGAUUGUUGUCUUGAUGAAUGUUAAAUGGGUGAAAUAUGCACAGGUUCAAUCAUUUGUUGAUUAUGAUAUUGUUAGCUUUGGUUGAUAGAGAAAUGAGGUCAAAAACCGAA